UGUGCACUGAGGAAGAUGUCUGACAAUUUUCCUUAAGGGCAGUCAGGCUUUUUAGUUUUCUGGAGUCAGGUAGGAGUGGGGAGACAUGUUCCUACCUCCCUUUGCUGGGUCCCAAACUAUUCCACCUUUACUUACCCCAGACCUGAAGAUUCAAGGGGAAACCCAUGACAGUAUUGAGGAUGCCCGCACAGCCCUUCAGCUGUACCGAAAGUAUCUGGAGCUAAGCAAAAAUGGCACUGAGCCUGAGUCUUUCCACAAGGUGCUCAAGGGUCUUUAUGAGAAGGGCAGAAAGAUGGACUGGAAGGUGCCUGAGCCUGAGGGCCAAACAAGUCCCAAGAAUGCAGCUGUCUUCUCCUCAGUGCUGGCGCUCUGACUACCCUUCCCAAAGAACCACGGCCCUCUCCCUUUACUGUUCUAUAGCCCCAGAACUGGGAGAUGGCUUCCUAAGUUGGCUAUACCUUGUCCACUUCCAGUACUGGACGUGCUCAGGGUCUAGGGUCACAGAUGGUGCUAUUAAUUGAACUGGAACACAGCAGAAUUGUUGCAAAGGUUCUAGGAGCCAGAUUCAUUCCUUCUUCAUUCUUUGCAAAACAGUGGUACAGACAUGGAGUCUAGAAUUGACCCAGAUGGAAAG
This 634-nucleotide small RNA is filed under the name Pan troglodytes (chimpanzee). Its description in RNAcentral is "retained intron". Lineage: Eukaryota; Metazoa; Chordata; Mammalia; Primates; Hominidae. The record is from RNAcentral.